Long non-coding RNA from Gallus gallus (chicken), 7763 nucleotides. RefSeq lists it as uncharacterized. Lineage: Eukaryota; Metazoa; Chordata; Aves; Galliformes; Phasianidae. The record is from RefSeq and is a predicted model, not a curated record. The transcript is spliced from 3 exons.
GGCAGCGCUGGGGGUUUGCGUUGGAGGCAAUGGAGGAGCCGGGAAGGUAGCAGGUCUUGCACGGGCUGUGCUGCGGUUAGCUCUGGAUGGCAGAUCGCCUGCGAUCAGCAGGGGGUUGCAGUAUAUAUCACUGGAGAGAAUGCAUUGCUGCUGUCUCUAUAUUGCCAGUACUGACGGUGCUUGCUGUGGGUCUGGAUGAAGCGCCCCAUCCAGCACGUUCCCAGCUGCUUACAUGCAGAUUACAACUUCUGCUUGGAAACCAGACUGGACGCUGCCACGUGAAAUCAGUUUUCUCCUAAAGCUGUAUAGGGAACUUGAUAAAUGCAAGGGAACCAGGAGCACCCUGAGCACUGCUUUUGCUUUGCUUCUGAAUGGGUUUGCUACAGUCUCCUACGCUUUCAGGAAGGAGCUGUUUCUGUGACAGGACAGGGCAGGAGAUGGGUUAGCAGGAGGCAGGGGGUGAGGGUGUGUGGUGCAUGAGUAGCGCUGGGGAUGAAAUGGUGGAAGAAGGACGCAAUAGGAAGGGGAAGGGGAAAGGUGGGAAUGUUGGGUCGUAGCUGAGUGUGGGAACUGUGGUAGAUGGGGUGGCUGCUGCUGCUGUAGAAAGAGAGUGGAGUGUUGGCCAUAGAGGCGGGUUUGGUGCAGUACUGCCCACACCACUCUCCUGGCUGUGUCAUCCCUGUAGAACUUGGUUUCCAGGCUGAGGCAGCUCUUUUGUCCCAGUCUCCCAUUCAAGAACUGAAGGAAGAUCUUGGAUCCCUUACCAGUCAUUCCUAGCGCUCAUGUCAAAGGACAUGAAUUAGCAAGCAGUCUAAACUGCUCCUUCCAUCAUACUGCAGAAGAAGACAGGCUGGUCAGGGAUAUCAGCGGCUAUUCAGAGCAGAGAUGAGACAUGGAGGAAGACACAUCUUGAUGAAUUACAGAUCCAGAUGAGAGAACUGAUACUUGACUGUCCUUUACCAUAGCAAAGUCCACAGGCACAUACAUAGGCUGAAUCUGAGCACAUCUACAGGAUGAGCAAUGCCAAUACCUCAGCUUUCCAGAAGCAGUACACGUGGAAAAACAUGUAUCUCCAGGUUGCUUUUAAUGAUGAACUCUAAAAGUGGCAAUGCUAUGGCUUCCAUAGUCUCUUCAGAACUUGUCAUCAAUCUAAGAAAUGAAGAACUCACCUUAAAUGCACGCCCAUCGAGGAAGACUUGCACCGGAGCUCGCUGACAUUGUAGUUUAUGAUAAAAUCAUUUGGGAGGCAGUAUGCAGGCCAUACAGAAACAGAGACCAUGCCACCACAACCACAUUGCUUACCCAGUCUGAUCACACAGAACAAGGAGACCGUGCGCCCAGGGAGUUUGAAUUGCACAGAAUAAAAAUCCAUUAAGUUGCAAUAUAUUUAAACCUGUAAUUACUGCAGAUUAGAAUUCAGCGGAGAACUUUGCAUAAUGCCAAGGGCUGACCUUUUUCUGAGGUGCUCUGGCCUGAUUGUUAGGACCUUGUAACAAAUGCCUAGUGCCAUUUAACGAAGGAAUGACAUAUCUCUGAUAUGCAAAUUUUUACAGCACAGCAAUUAAGCGGUUUAGAAUUUUACGACAGUGUUUGGGCUUUAUACAACAAAAAAAGGGCCAAUAAAGGCCUGUGAUGGAUGGGCUAAUCCCCACUGGAAAUAUACCAUGUAAUCUUGUAGAGACAAUGCAUUAUGGAUAGCAUUGUGAUUAUUGGUCGCUAAUAUCUCCCCCCUCCUCCUCCUGCUCCCGGCCACGACGAAGCUGCAUGGCUGCCACAUUGUCGGGGGCACAGGACUGGGAUACAGAUGGGGAAGUUGGGCCAUUGCAAUCUGCUGCACGCAAGGAAGACAGAGAAAAGGGGGCUUGCAGCGAGGCAGCUUGUCAGCAGGGGAUGAGGCUGGGGGCCAUAUGCCUCUCUUCUUCUCCCUUCUGUCACAGAGCCUGCUGCCGCAUCCUGCUGUCGGGGGACACUUUAAUGAUGAACACACUUUAAACAGUUUUGUUUACCUAGCCACAGCUUUUCCAUGAGGGAGUCUUAAUUAGAUGCCUUGGAUUUCUGUGCUUCCAUCCAUUCAUCUGUCUGUCCACACGGCGGUGAGAGCUGCUGGUGGUGCAGCCACGGUCAGCAGUGCUCAGCCUCGCUGUUCCCCCCACCAGCCACAAAAGGCAGAUCACUUUUACUUCAUGUGCUGCUGCUUACCAGUACCACGUGAAGCCUGCUGCAGCGCUGGCAGAGGUGCUCCUUACUGUGCCGGCAUCUCACAGGCAGAAUUUGCUCAGUGUAAAGUGCAGCGUAGGAGCUGCGAGAAAUUUCGGCUGGAGUAAGAGAGGAUGUGCCUCAGCUAUGUAACAGCAGGACAACUGCUCGGAGCUUCAAAUCCACUUUCAAAAGCAUCUUCUAAAAUUAAAAGAAAAAAACACCUCCAGUUGCUAUUUAAAGUGCCAGAAUAAUUUAAAACUUGGGGUCACUCUCUUGCUAUUUGGUCACUAGGAGUGCAAAAUAAAGCUUGUUUUUUUUUCCUAAUUUUCCCCUUUGAUCUUUUAUACCCUUGGUUACAUCUGCUGCUACGGUACUUUCUGCUUUAGAGAAGGGAGUAGAGGAUGUUGAGAAUGGAUUCUGUUGUUUGACUGAUGUUUUCUAUAGGCGAUGAUAAAUUCCAUUAAUAUAUCCGAAGUUAAUAAACUAGACAAAAAACAAGUCUGAUUUGUCUGCCCAUUCAGUGGAAAACCCCUUAGCAGGGGGGUUCUGGGAAGCAAGAAGAGCACGGGGAUUCCCAGGCAGGGACACUUGGCCUGGGAACCCUCAAGGCAAGAAGGGGAGGGGAAGUUGAUUUGCUAGGGGCUGUAGUCUUCCUCCCACCAAGCGUGAUUGGCCCCUUGGAACUACAGAAAGCAGAACAAUUUCUGUGGAAGAAGCUGUUUCUGUGCUAGCUCCCAUUUCCCCUGUUCUGUCCUUCAGGUCCUUUCCCCAGGGGCACCCAGUCCUCACACAGAGGAGGAAACUCCAGUCACACCUGACAUCACAGCAGUGUGCUCUUCUUUGGGAUCUCAGGGAUUUGCCGUAACUCUUGGUUGCUAAGCUUUCCCAGGGUAUCCUCUGACCUCUGCUUGGCUGUUUUGGUGAUUAAGAUAUUGAGGACAACCGCCAAAAUACGGAGUUGGAUAGACAGAUGUAUAGCUAGUUGGGUAGAUACAGGUAGACAGACAGAUACGGUUAUGAACUACAUCUGGACAUCCUUUGCUCAACUGGGAACAGUCAACAAGAACCACCCUGCUUCAAAUCUUAGACCCCUUCAAAUCUCAAGUAUCUUGAAACCAAGAUACUUCUGAACCCCGAAUGAACCAGGAGGGUUAGUUCCAGUCUUGAGAAAGAAAACGUAGCACUAUGUAGAGAGUUUAUUACAGGAUGUACCAAAAUGAAAAUCCCACAUAGUUGGUGGUUUGAGAAUAAUGGCUUGGCAGAUAUAUAAAUCGAAAAAGCUUGAAACUUCGGGAUUUUUGGAAUUCUAAAAUCGUCCUUCUCCCUAAGGUGAUGUACAUUGCCCAAGAGAGUCCAUUUCUCUCUACAGCACUGUGGAGCUGAUCAAAGGAAAGAAAGCCCUUCCUAGCAGUGAGUCUGUCUGGCUUUGAAGAAGUGACAUAAAAGAAGGGAGAAAACUCUUAUAAUCUUCAUAUUUUAAAGUAUGGCAGGACAUGAAGAAAUGCAGUUCUCACAGGACAGGUGAGAAGCUGUGCUAUGAGAUGAGUGAGUGAAUCACCUGAGUAGUUGUUUCCCAUUCAUUCCUAUGAGGAAGAGUCUACUGUGAUGGGAUAAAAAGAUCACAGGCUGUUCAGUCACAUUGUUGUUGGGCCAGUGUCCAGUGAGUUCCAGGAUAAGACUAUCUUACAGAUAUCUUUAAGAUGACAACAAAAGGAAUUUAUGACAUUCUCCACUAUUCUCUAUAUGGUGCCGAACUUCUGGGCACUCUCAGCUGCUUUACAACUUCUGUGUUAGAACAGAACAGAACUGUUCUGUUGGAAGGAACUUUCAUAGAUCAUCUGGUACAGCUGCCUGCACACUUCAGUGCUAACCAAAAGUUAAAGCGUAUUAAUGAGAACAUUGUCCAAAUAUAAUCUUUUUUCCUGAAUCUAGAUAAAAGUAAACUGUGGAGUGAUUAAACUUAUGGAUCAUCUGGAGACAGACAGAUACGUUCAGGAAUUCAAUUGAAGGUUUUUCAGUAAGUGUCAAGACUAUGGACUGAAAAAAUGAUACUUAAAAAAACACCCAAAAAUCCAGCCCAAGCCCACAAAGGAUCAGGUUUCCUGAAGGUUUUGCUAAGGUUGAAAGCUCUCAAAGUGACUUGUGGAAAUUUGUUUUCAAAGACACAGUGAUUCAGCCAUGAAAAUUUUCUGUUGCCAUCACAUGAGCUUUAAACUUUGCUAGAAGUUGCUUUAAACUCUUUGCUUUAAACUACCUAGAAAGACAAAUAGAAAUAAAAAAUAACAAUAAAAAAAAAUAGAGAGAGAUUUCUUAAGAAAUGCCACUGUUAAGUCACAGUUUACAAGGUGAUGUACAGCAUUAUAAAAUGGGGAGAUUGUUUAUUUUGGUAAUUUUCAUCUAAUAAGCCUUAAUAUACAUACAAAUCUGAUUUCUACAAAGAAACCAUACAGAAGACUGCAUCUUCAGUUAGCAUUGCUUUAUAUUUAUGAUUCCUGCAUUUUGAACAACUUCAUAGCAUCACAGUUUUCUUCCUUUUCUCAAGUGUGCAUGAACUUAUUGCUCCUGUGGCCUUUAAGGACAGAAAUGUAUAUGGGUGAAGUGAGUUAGAGAAAUCAGACCUCGGGCCAAGGGAAGUAUUUCCUAUUUGAAUCAUGAACAAUAUAAUUUUAAGCAUUAUCACAAAAUAGUGUCAGUUCUGGCUAUAAACACCAUCUGUCAUUUCAGUGUCUGAACUACUGUGCUGGCACAUGGUCAUACCAAAAUUGUGUUGUCCUUUUUUGAGGACUAGACUGUGAUCACCAGUCCAUCUUAUUUCUAAGACAGCAUGCCUUUUUUAUGGUGACAAAUGCCUAGCUCACUGAGCAAUUCCUAGAGGCAAAAGACACUCAGCUCAUACUCACUAGUAUAAUUUUCCACUUGAAAAGAACUGAUGAUUUGGUCCUUGCACCUGUCGGGCCUUGGCUUCUCACUAGUUAUUCCUCUCUUCCAUGCCACUGCCAAGUUGGUUGCACUUUGUCACCCAUCACAAGGUGUCCAAACUGUUGCAUCCUGCCAAGUGGUUACUCUACUUCUCACUUCUUACACUUCUACAUCUUCCAUAAAAGGCUUUAUGCAGUUUAUAUUUUAUUUUAAUCAAUUUUAUUUUAAUUAAGACUUCUGCUAUGGUUAUCAUUAUAGCAGAUGGCUAUCUCCAGAUUUGGGAGUUUGUGUCAGGUGAAUGUUUGGCUUUCUGUAACAGUGAAGUUACUCUGCAAUCUGUAUAGGCAUCCACCCUUCCCCUGCAUCAGGGGGUUACAAAUCCCAACAGCUUCUCAAGGUUUCUUCCGGGCUCAUACUUUGCAUAGUCAUUUCAUCCUUCACCGUUCACACAGCUGAAGAAAGCAACAGUCAUCAUCAUCAUUAUUCUUUUCUAUUUCUUCAUGUGUGGCGUUAGCUAUCACGGUACCUCAGUAGCCUCACAAGACACUUUUUCCUCCCUGUGAUAUCCAGCUUAGACCUCUUCUGCUUUGCAAGGACUUCACCGGGUAGGUACUGAAUGCUGCUACCUCUGUCGGGGAAGAAGACGUUCUUUGGCCUCCAUACUCUUUGGGGGGUAGGAGCAGGGAAUUAAAUACACCAGGUGAGCAUCAUUUCCCCCCCUCCCCAAAAUACAAGAGCUCUGCUCAUCUUCCAGGUCACUGGGGGAAAGGGAAAUGAAAAGAGAGUCCUUUUCUAAGGAAUUAAGCAAAGCUCCAGAAAGGAAGGUAGCUAUUUCAAAAUGAGAUUGAGGGUAAAUCAGUGUGAUUUGUGAGGUAAAUUAACUUUUAUUAUGGGUUAUUAAUGUGUGUUAAUAAGUGUUAGGCCAUUACCCACCCUGCCACCCUGAGAACAACAAAUGUGUAAAAGAAAAUCUAGGAAAAAAAGACCGAAAGGCUUUCCAGAUCCAUGAGCAUAUUAAUAUUUUGUUUUGAGGAUAUGCAAAUAUCAGAUAAGAUGAACACUGUAAAAAGAUUAAAUAGGCAGUGGAAAGAAGGAUGGCAAGCCUAUCACUAAGCUAAGUUAGGUUCUCUUAGAAUGACAUGGGAGACAGAGGACUCCAUGUGGAUUUCAUUAUUCUGGGAGAUUUUCUGAGAACCUUCAAAAUACUGACACAACUAAGAACAGCAUCUAAGUUUACCGAAACAAAAACUGAAACAAGCAGGAAUUUCUAAUUCAGGACAUAAACUAACCACUAAAUCACUGCAACUGCGAAAUAUCUGUUUAGUGAGUAAACUCCAAAUUUUUCUUCAGACAUUUUUGCACAAAUGUUCAUGGAUUUGAGCCUCCAUUACCACUGUGCAGAGUGCCACAGCCAGCUCUUAUGCUUGUGAAUCUUUCUGCACCUCACUCUACCUAUGUCCGCCCUUGCUAAUGUUUGCCUGGCCGUACUGCCCAAGGCCAAAGGUAUAAUUUUAAUGGAUGCAUUUCCUAAGCCUCACUUCUCCCUUCAGAAGUACAUACAGGCAGUACAUUUACUGAAAAAAAUCUAGGGAAAACUCAUUUAGAAAAAAAGAAGCCUGAUUUAUUGAUAAAACCAUCUUCAGAUAGACUUCAAAGUAUAUGAAAGCAGGGACCUGCUUUCAGUCUAUGUAUAUUCAACUGUAGAAGCCAUAAAAUGGCAAAAAGAUCAACAAAUCGCCCAUGCCAGAAACUAAAUACUAAAUACUAAGAAGACUAACUUCCAAAUACAUCCAGCUACUAUUAACUUUACUGCAGCAGGACCCAGAAGACCUCACCAUAAAUGGCCUUCAGUUUGUUUGGUACUGUAUGAACACAAAGAAAAAAGGGUUUCCUGGUCCAUGUGAAUGCAAGUAAACAUUGGUGUUGGGAGAUGGGCCUAAAUUUGCUUGAAUUAGUGAGGAAUAGACAGAAGAGCCUGGCACCUUCUGAGUAGGAUAAAGGGAUAUUCCACACCUGGCAGGAGCAGAAUACCCUGUGUAGGACCUUAAAAAAGCAAUGAGCCUUAUGCUUUGUGGUAAGGCAGCAUCUGCUCUGUGAGCUGCUACAGUGCAUUUCAGAGAAGCCAACCUGCUACUUGAAGACAUGGCUGGCACCAGGUUCGGCCUUGUUGCUUCUCAGGGAACCAGCCAUGCUCCUGGCUCCCACCCUGAGCUAGGCAGUGAGCAACAGAGAUAGGGCCCCACAGCAGCCAGGGAGUUGGGUGGUGCAGCCUGCAUUGAGCACGUGGAGGGAUUUAUUUUCCACAUGGUGAUUUUCCAGCCUUGCUCCAUAAUGGCAUUUGUGGUUUUACUUUGUGUAGUACCUUGGAUCAGUGGGAUUGAAGCCAGGCUACACCCGCUUUUGUGGCUGCAAAAUGUAAAGGUGUUUUUGCAGUCAAGGAUGUGUUUAUUAUCAACUUACAAAAUCCUUAUCAGGACUAGCCCAGAAGGCUGCACAGCUUUGCAGAACCUGCUUCUUACAACAGCCCCUGUUGCAAAUCCUUUGAAAGCAGCAACUAAAGAGAUUCCCUUUGCAGAGAGGGUGAGGAUUGUUGUUAAAGUUUUAUUAUGCUUUACUCCGAUAAACCCUGCUAGGUGAUAGCAGUA